This 72-nucleotide transfer RNA is filed under the name Chloroflexota bacterium. RNAcentral describes it as "Chloroflexi bacterium tRNA-Lys". It matches the Rfam family "tRNA". From Rfam's summary of the family: Transfer RNA (tRNA) molecules are approximately 80 nucleotides in length. Their secondary structure includes four short double-helical elements and three loops (D, anti-codon, and T loops). Further hydrogen bonds mediate the characteristic L-shaped molecular structure. tRNAs have two regions of fundamental functional importance: the anti-codon, which is responsible for specific mRNA codon recognition, and the 3' end, to which the tRNAs corresponding amino acid is attached (by aminoacyl-tRNA synthetases). tRNAs cope with the degeneracy of the genetic code in two manners: having more than one tRNA (with a specific anti-codon) for a particular amino acid; and 'wobble' base-pairing, i.e. permitting non-standard base-pairing at the 3rd anti-codon position. Lineage: Bacteria; Bacillati; Chloroflexota. The record is from RNAcentral.
GGGCGUGUAGCUCAAUGGUAGAGCAGUAGCCUUUUAAGCUAUUGGUUGGGGGUUCGAGCCCCUCCACGCUCA